AACGAACGCUGGCGGCGUGGAUAAGACAUGCAAGUCGAACGGGACUAUUGAGGUAGCAAUAUCGCGAUAGUCUAGUGGCGAACGGGUGCGUAACACGUGGAUACAUUCCGGGAAGCGGGGGAUAGCCCGAGGGAAACUUGGAUUAAUACCGCAUGUGGUCGAAAGACUAAAGACGGGGACCGCAAGGCCUGUCACUUCCCGAUUGGUCCGCGGCCUAUCAGCUAGUUGGCGGGGUAAAAGCCCACCAAGGCUACGACGGGUAGCUGGUCUUAGAGGACGACCGGCCACACUGGAACUGAGACACGGUCCAGACACCUACGGGUGGCAGCAGUCGAGAAUCUUUCACAAUGGGGGCAACCCUGAUGGAGCGACGCCGCGUGGAGGAUAAGGUCUUCGGAUUGUAAACUCCUGUCAUGUGAGAACAAGGUUGCAGGGCUAACGAACCCUGCAAAUUGAUGGUAUCACAAGAGGAAGAGACGGCUAACUCUGUGCCAGCAGCCGCGG
This 504-nucleotide ribosomal RNA is filed under the name uncultured bacterium. Its description in RNAcentral is "bacterial SSU rRNA". It matches the Rfam family "Bacterial small subunit ribosomal RNA", at positions 29 to 520 of the family's 1533-position model. The record is from RNAcentral.